Molecule: ribosomal RNA, 493 nt
Filed under: uncultured bacterium
Lineage: Bacteria
Description: partial 16S ribosomal RNA
Rfam family: Bacterial small subunit ribosomal RNA
Source: RNAcentral
UAGGGAAUCUUCCACAAUGGACGCAAGUCUGAUGGAGCAACGCCGCGUGAGUGAAGAAGGCUUUCGGGUCGUAAAACUCUGUUGUUGGAGAAGAAUGGUCGGCAGAGUAACUGUUGUCGGCGUGACGGUAUCCAACCAGAAAGCCACGGCUAACUACGUGCCAGCAGCCGCGGUAAUACGUAGGUGGCAAGCGUUAUCCGGAUUUAUUGGGCGUAAAGCGAGCGCAGGCGGUUUUUUAAGUCUGAUGUGAAAGCCCUCGGCUUAACCGAGGAAGCGCAUCGGAAACUGGGAAACUUGAGUGCAGAAGAGGACAGUGGAACUCCAUGUGUAGCGGUGAAAUGCGUAGAUAUAUGGAAGAACACCAGUGGCGAAGGCGGCUGUCUGGUCUGUAACUGACGCUGAGGCUCGAAAGCAUGGGUAGCGAACAGGGUUAGAUACCCUGGUAGUCCAUGCCGUAAACGAUGAAUGCUAGGUGUUGGAGGGUUUCCGCCCU